This 253-nucleotide ribosomal RNA is filed under the name uncultured bacterium. Its description in RNAcentral is "partial 16S ribosomal RNA". It matches the Rfam family "Bacterial small subunit ribosomal RNA", at positions 524 to 776 of the family's 1533-position model. The record is from RNAcentral.
UACGGAGGGUGCAAGCGUUAUCCGGAUUUACUGGGUUUAAAGGGUGCGUAGGUGGACAUUUAAGUCAGCGGUGAAAUCUCCGGGCUUAACUCGGAAAUUGCCAUUGAUACUAUUUGUCUUGAAUUAUCUGGAGGUGAGCGGAAUAUGUCAUGUAGCGGUGAAAUGCUUAGAUAUGACAUAGAACACCAAUUGCGAAGGCAGCUCACUACGGAUACAUUGACACUGAGGCACGAAAGCGUGGGGAUCAAACAGG